GACGAACGCUGGCGGCGUGCUUAAUACAUGCAAGUCGAACGGGCAAAUGCCUUCGGGUAUUUGCUAGUGGCGGACGGGUGAGUAACGCGUGAGCAAUCUGCCUUGCAGUGGGGAAUAACACAGGGAAACCUGUGCUAAUACCGCAUGAUGUAUUUCCGGGACAUCCCGGGGAUACCAAAGGAGUAAUUCGCUGUAAGAUGAGCUCGCGUCCGAUUAGAUAGUUGGUGAGGUAACGGCCCACCAAGUCGACGAUCGGUAGCCGGACUGAGAGGUUGGCCGGCCACAUUGGGACUGAGACACGGCCCAGACUCCUACGGGAGGCAGCAGUAGGGAAUAUUAGGCAAUGGGGGAAACCCUGACCUAGCAACGCCGCGUGAAGGAUGAAGGUCUUCGGAUUGUAAACUUCUUUGGCCCGGGACGAUAAUGACGGUACCGGGAGAACAAGCCACGGCUAACUACGUG
RNAcentral lists this ribosomal RNA (462 nucleotides) under uncultured organism. RNAcentral describes it as "bacterial SSU rRNA". It matches the Rfam family "Bacterial small subunit ribosomal RNA", at positions 28 to 507 of the family's 1533-position model. The record is from RNAcentral.